Molecule: ribosomal RNA, 150 nt
Filed under: uncultured bacterium
Lineage: Bacteria
Description: partial 16S ribosomal RNA
Rfam family: Bacterial small subunit ribosomal RNA
Source: RNAcentral
UUCCUACGGGAGGCAGCAGUAGGGAAUAUUGGGCAAUGGGCGAAAGCCUGACCCAGCAACGCCGCGUGUGUGAUGAAGGCCUUCGGGUUGUAAAGCACUUUUGGCAGGGACGAGGAAGGACAGUACGAGUGGAAUAAGCCUCGGCUAACU